This 453-nucleotide ribosomal RNA is filed under the name uncultured organism. Its description in RNAcentral is "partial 16S ribosomal RNA". It matches the Rfam family "Bacterial small subunit ribosomal RNA", at positions 332 to 801 of the family's 1533-position model. The record is from RNAcentral.
UACACUCCUGCGGGAGGCAGCAGUGGGGAAUAUUGGACAAUGGGGGCAACCCUGAUCCAGCCAUGCCGCGUGAGUGAUGAAGGCCCUAGGGUUGUAAAGCUCUUUUGUGCGGGAAGAUAAUGACGGUACCGCAAGAAUAAGCCCCGGCUAACUUCGUGCCAGCAGCCGCGGUAAUACGAAGGGGGCUAGCGUUGCUCGGAAUCACUGGGCGUAAAGGGUGCGUAGGCGGGUCUUUAAGUCAGGGGUGAAAUCCUGGAGCUCAACUCCAGAACUGCCUUUGAUACUGAGGAUCUUGAGUCCGGAAGAGGUGAGUGGAACUGCGAGUGUAGAGGUGAAAUUCGUAGAUAUUCGCAAGAACACCAGUGGCGAAGGCGGCUCACUGGUCCGGUACUGACGCUGAGGCACGAAAGCGUGGGGAGCAAACAGGAUUAGAAACCCGUGUAGUCCCAUGAU